This 339-nucleotide long non-coding RNA is filed under the name Chinchilla lanigera (long-tailed chinchilla). Its description in RNAcentral is "lncRNA (ENSCLAG00000024530.1)". The record is from RNAcentral. Lineage: Eukaryota; Metazoa; Chordata; Mammalia; Rodentia; Chinchillidae.
GCAAACCACAGUUCACACCUUAACUUUUUAGUUUUUUCCUUAAUUCUUACUUGGUCAGAGCUGACAGCAAGAGCACCAUGAUUCAUGGGCAUGACUUCCUGCACGCAGUCACUUUCCCACGGAGAGGACUGCAGGGGGAGAAAAUCAGAAUGAAGAAAAACAGCAAGAAAACCCUGCAUUUUCUGAACACAAACAUGAAAAUGAAAAGAUCCUGAAAAAAAGGUUCUGGAAUGGGGGCUCAGAGGACUGCAUUCUGUCCCAGGUAUCUUAAAUUGAUAUUGGUAACUGUACUGACUAGGGCACACUAACUAAGCACACUAACUAAGCACACUAACGAAU